GCCCGUGGAGCCCUGGGCCUGUUGACCCACCAGCUUAGGAGCACUCACCAAGCUCUGGGUCAACGUGGAGGUACCAGGCCACCAUGCUCAGUCUCAAGCUGCCCCAACUUCUUCAAGUCCACCAGGUCCCCCGGGUGUUCUGGGAAGAUGGCAUCAUGUCUGGCUACCGCCGCCCCACCAGCUCGGCUUUGGACUGUGUCCUCAGCUCCUUCCAGAUGACCAACGAGACGGUCAACAUCUGGACUCACUUCCUGCCCACCUGGUACUUCCUGUGGCGGCUCCUGGCGCUGGCGGGCGGCCCCGGCUUCCGUGCGGAGCCGUACCACUGGCCGCUGCUGGUCUUCCUGCUGCCCGCCUGCCUCUACCCCUUCGCGUCGUGCUGCGCGCACACCUUCAGCUCCAUGUCGCCCCGCGCGCGCCACAUCUGCUACUUCCUGGACUACGGCGCGCUCAGCCUCUACAGCCUGGCACAGCGAUGGUGACCGGCUUUUUCCUCCCGCCUCCCAGUUUCCUGGAGCUGGAAAGCCCUGGGCUCAGUAAGGUCCUCCGCACAGGAGCCUUCGCCUAUCCCUUCCUGUUCGACAACCUCCCACUCUUUUAUCGGCUCGGGCUGUGCUGGAGCAGGGGCCACAGCUGUGGGCAGGAGGCCCUGAGCACCAGCCAUGGCUACCACCUCUUCUGCGCGCUGCUCACUGGCUUCCUCUUCGCCUCCCACCUGCCCGAAAGGCUGGCACCAGGACGC
Molecule: small RNA, 742 nt
Filed under: Pongo abelii (Sumatran orangutan)
Lineage: Eukaryota; Metazoa; Chordata; Mammalia; Primates; Hominidae
Description: processed transcript
Source: RNAcentral